GCUUAACACAUGCAAGUCGAGGGGUAACAGAGAAAAGCUUGCUUUUUUGCUGACGACCGGCGCACGGGUGCGUAACGCGUAUGCAAUCUACCUUUUGCUAAGGGAUAGCCCAGAGAAAUUUGGAUUAAUACCUUAUAGUAUGAUGACUUGGCAUCAAGAUAUCAUUAAAGAUUACGGCAAAAGAUGAGCAUGCGUUCUAUUAGCUAGUUGGUGUGGUAACGGCAUACCAAGGCAACGAUAGAUAGGGGUCCUGAGAGGGAGAUCCCCCACACUGGUACUGAGACACGGACCAGACUCCUACGGGAGGCAGCAGUGAGGAAUAUUGGACAAUGGAGGCAACUCUGAUCCAGCCAUGCCGCGUGCAGGAAGACUGCCCUAUGGGUUGUAAACUGCUUUUGUACAGGAAGAAAUACCUCUACGUGUAGAGAUUUGACGGUACUGUAAGAAUAAGGAUCGGCUAACUCCGUGCCAGCAGCCGCGGUAAUACGGAGGAUCCAAGCG
RNAcentral lists this ribosomal RNA (501 nucleotides) under uncultured bacterium. RNAcentral's name for it is "bacterial SSU rRNA". It matches the Rfam family "Bacterial small subunit ribosomal RNA", at positions 46 to 540 of the family's 1533-position model. The record is from RNAcentral.